This 76-nucleotide transfer RNA is filed under the name Acidobacteriota bacterium. RNAcentral's name for it is "Acidobacteria bacterium tRNA-Thr". It matches the Rfam family "tRNA". From Rfam's summary of the family: Transfer RNA (tRNA) molecules are approximately 80 nucleotides in length. Their secondary structure includes four short double-helical elements and three loops (D, anti-codon, and T loops). Further hydrogen bonds mediate the characteristic L-shaped molecular structure. tRNAs have two regions of fundamental functional importance: the anti-codon, which is responsible for specific mRNA codon recognition, and the 3' end, to which the tRNAs corresponding amino acid is attached (by aminoacyl-tRNA synthetases). tRNAs cope with the degeneracy of the genetic code in two manners: having more than one tRNA (with a specific anti-codon) for a particular amino acid; and 'wobble' base-pairing, i.e. permitting non-standard base-pairing at the 3rd anti-codon position. Lineage: Bacteria; Pseudomonadati; Acidobacteriota. The record is from RNAcentral. RNAcentral also lists the same sequence under 2 other names.
GCCGGCGUAGCUCAGUUGGUAGAGCGGCUGAUUCGUAAUCAGCAGGUCCGCGGUUCAAGCCCGCGCGCCGGCUCCA